CUUCAGAGCUGGUUAAUCCAAGCUGUGGAAAAGCAGCUGGUUGGGACUGAGGGGCUGGGACAAAGGGAGAAGAUUGGUUUAGAGAACAGAGCACUGGAUAGUGACACAGGAAACACAGUUGUCCUUGCCCUACCUGGGUAGAGUCUCUUGUCAUUUGACUAAGCUUCCUCAUCUGGGAACAAAAACUCGAGGUGGAGGCAUUUGUAAAGUUUGUUUUUAAGGGAAGCUUUGAGCAGUGGCUCAUCCUGAGCACUCCAUCAGACUUGUUCUCCACCCACAGGCAGGGGCUGAUGGUCAUUUGGCUGGUCAUUGUCUCCCUGCUUCUCGGCUCACUCUACUUUCUUUGCACCACCCAGCAGAGAAGGGUUUAGGCACUGAAAAAACUUGAGGCUUGCCUGAGUUGCAGCUGACUGUUGUUUUUGUCCCACACCUGCAGGGAAUCCUCUGUCCAGGAAAGGAGCUGGUGUGAGGGACAGAUCCAACAGAGCGCUGCAGGAAGAUGUUGGAAGCCAGCUGGAGCACAGCUCCCAGCAGAGUGUAGGCAGUUCUUUGCUGUUCUCUGUUCUUCCACUAUGCCCUUAGCUCCCAGUGAGUUGUAAAUAAAGCUGGGAUCUGCAAGGCCUGGCUUCUCAUGCCUGCAGGUUCUCAAAGGUGUCUGAACAGGAAUGCUGCUGUCUUGUCCCCACCUCUCCAUGUGGGAGAUGAGAGUGGGCCUUUUCCUUGUCCCCCCCUCUCUGCUGUCCUUUCACGUGUGACCUUCAGGAAGUGCUGUGUGUUUUGACAUAAACCAACUGCUUGGGCACACUGGCUUGCUUGGGCUUUCUGUGGGCUGAUGCCUCCAGGCAUUGGUUUAAGCAUUGCUUGACUAGUGGAUGAUGUUACAUGUGCCAGACUGGCUUCAAGAACCUACCAAAACUGAUGGAGCCAGCCAGCCUGACCCAGAGCUGAGCCAUGCAGUUUUUGUGGCACAGCUGUACCACUGAUGCUAAACGAUGGAACCACCAGGGCAGGAGGAAGCUGAGGUUUCUCUGGGCACGGUGGAACACAGGUGGGGCUGGGCCUCACAGCAUCACCCAGUUACUUCAGCCAAGCCUCUGCAUGUUAUGCUGCACCCACCACGAUCCAGAGCCAUGACACUGUAACACAUCACCUGGUGACUGCUAGCACAGGCUGUGACUGAUGCUGGCCUGUGUGGCCCCUCUCGACAACCACCCUCACAGUGCUGGUGCCAGGGCCACCUGAGCCCCCUUGUCUCCAGGAUGGGUAAGCCAAGGUCCCACAGCCCCACGUUACAAGCUGUGUACACCAGACCCUCUCCACCUUGGGGGUCCCUGGGACUUGAUUCAGUUUAGCACCGUAUUUCUUGUCAUGAGAGAACUACAAUUGCAGGCACAGUUGGAAAUGUGGUGGGCAAGAGCUGAGCAGGAAACAACGCUGCUCUCCACCUACUGGCCAUGCCACGUGGUCAGUUGCCACCAUCCUCACUGCCCAGGUACAGUGCUCCUGUGGCCCUAAGGAAGGCAUCUAGGAUGGCAGUGGCUGUUAGUGGGAAGUUCUAGGAUGAGGAACAACCAAAGACCAAGCUUGUGGCACAGCAGGGCAGUGAGUUCCUGUUGGAAAGAGGUUCCCCUCACUGCCCCCCUUUGGGUGAACCUUGGCUCAAGCAGCUCAUUUCUGCACAAUUCUGGGUCUCCACCAUUGUGGUUGAAUCCCAGGUGGUAACUAAACACCACACAGCCACUUGCUCACCCCCCAUCUCUUCCUCUUUUCUCCCCUGGGGAACAGGAGAUUGGGAAAAAUAAAAGUAACUUUGCAGGCUGAGAUACGAACAAAACAAGGUAUAAAGGCAUCUCUCAAAUUCCUGAACUUCCAGGUGAGCAUUGGGAGAGCAGAAUCCCUCUCACUGCCAGAGUCAAGGAUCCCGUGAGGGAACUGAUUGGCACAAGUCUGUGGGGCCUGAUGAGAUGCCCUCCAAGAUCCUGAGGGAACGGGCUGAUGGCAUUGCCAAGCCUCUCCCAACCCUAAUUUAAAACUCACAGAAAGUCCCUGGGGAGUGCAACUAGGGAAAUAAUUUUCCUAGUUUUAAAAAAGGGAGAAAGGAAGACCCAGGGAACUACAGACCAGCGAGUCUCACUGUCUGUGCCUGGGAAAAUCAUGGAAGCAAUGUUAGGACACAUGACAGACAAGGAGGUGACCUGAGACAGUUUAAAAGACAAGUGUCUGCCAAAGAAGUCAGGAACCUUCCUGGGAUGGAAAAUAUGUCCCCCUCUUCCCUCCAAAUUACUAUAAUUUUGAAAUUAUGGGUUUUUCAGGCAAAGAUGGGAAAAGGAAUAGCAGUUCUUUACGUGUUUGUGUGUGUGUGUGUGUAACGAGGCAAACAAACAACAGCAAACAACAAACAGACACAGAGACCCAGUGCCAGCCUUCCCCCGGCUGCAGGCACCUUCCCCUUUGGUGCAGUUCCGGGCACAGCCGGCAGGGGCGCUGCUGGCUCCCGGCCGGGCAGGGCAGGUGCGGUGAUUCCCCCGCAGCUGCAGGGGGCGCUGUGGCCCAGCUCGGCCGCCUCUCUCUAUGUGGCAAUGGCGACUCAGGUGGUGGGAGAGAGAGAAAAAGACUCCCUUGUGGAACUCACGGGGGCAGCUGGUGCCACUGCCACUCCGGGUGGCAGGCUGGACUGCUGCAAUAGCCUUGGAGCAGCAGGCUGGAACAGCAGCGGUGAGAACACUUGGGGUGGAAAACUGUGUGGAUUUGGCACAGCCUGGUUUUUGGUAGCGAGGGAGGGUCACAGAAGUAGCUUCUGUGAGAAGCUGCUAGAAGCUUCCACCAUGUCCAACAGAGUCAAUCUCUGAUGUGUCUGAAAAUGGACAUGCUACUGGGCCAGUUAGAGAGGUUGGUCAUGCUCUGUGAUAUAUUUAAAAAGGAAAUCAAAACAGGGCACAGGCAGUUUUUUUCGAGGGGUGAUGAGGCACCGCCACCAGGGCCAUCGUGGCACAAACUGUGGCAGUUGCCACCGUAGCUGCCGUCACCUUGGCGUGGCUGCAUUGAGCCUUGCCUGCCUGGUUCCCCCUAGCAGGCUGUGCUGCAGGCAGAAGGGCAGGAGCGGUGGCAGCUUCUCCUUCCUGGCUCCCCGCAUGAAGAGAGGUGUUAAAUACUGCCAGCGCUGCAGGGGCUGGCACUGCCCACCCAGUGCUAGCAGGGCUGCCUGGCAGAAACAUGGCAAACUGCCCAGUGCAGACCCUAGAGGAGAUCAACUUCUCAGCGCUGUGAAAUGCUGCAGGAACCUUUGAAUUAGUGGAACUUGUUGGCAAUGGUAUCUAUGAGCAGCAGUUUUUCUUCUAGUCAGGGAAGAGGCGAAGUGAGGACAUGUGAAGAAGAACAAUAUAGCAGCACCAAGGUCAAUGGAAAAGAAAGAGGGGGAGGAAAUGCUCCAAGCAUCAGAGCCGAGAUGCCUCUGCAAGCUGUGGUGAAGACUAUGGUGAGACAAACUGUCAUCCUGUAAUGUAUGAAGUCCACGGGGGAUGUGGAGAUCCACUUGCAGCCUGUGGGAAAAGUGCUCACGCCAGAGCGGGUGGAUGCCAGAGAAAGCUGUGAUCCAGUGGGAGACCUGAAUAGAGAGAGAGGGCCCAUGCUUCCAUAGAUAGAUAGAGAGUCCUUGCUUCCAAACUAGAGCAGUCUCUCCUUAAAAAACUGCACCCCGUGGACGAGUGACUCUCCCCACAACAGUUUUGGGAAAACUGCCUGUGGGACGGAUCCCAUGGCAUAGCAGGGGGAUUCCAUUACCUAAGCAAACAGAAAAAUAUCCCAGGUGAGGAACUGACCAAAACCCCAAUGCCCUAUCUCCCUGAGCUGUCAGUGGGAAGGAAGGAGGGGCUGGGGGAGAUAAAGGUGUUUUAAAGGCUUAAUUUACU
Long non-coding RNA from Prinia subflava (tawny-flanked prinia), 3908 nucleotides. RefSeq lists it as uncharacterized. Lineage: Eukaryota; Metazoa; Chordata; Aves; Passeriformes; Cisticolidae. The record is from RefSeq and is a predicted model, not a curated record. The transcript has 3 exons.